GGGGGAAAAAUUAAUAAAUUUAAAAAUAAUUAAAGUAGUUUUAAUAUUAGAAUAGGGGGUUUUAGUAUUAAUAAAGAAAUAAUUAAAAAAUUUAUAGUUAAUUAGUAUUGUGUAAGAAUUAUGAAAUAUAUUGAAAAUAAAUUAAUUAAAAAGUAAAUAUAAUUUAUUGUAUCUUGUGUAUCAGAGUUUAUUAAAUACUUAUUUUGGGUUUAAAUAUUUCUCGAGUUAAAAAGAGAUAAUUAAUUAUAAAAGUUAUUGUUGCAUAAAUAUUUUAAAUAGUUAAUUAGAAGUGAAAUGUUAAUCGUUUUUUAAGAUAUCUAGUUUUUUUAGAAAAAAAUUUAAUUUUAAAUUUAAUUUUUAAAUUAAUUAAUUAAUUAAUUAAUUUAAAAUAAAAUUUUAUAUUUUAAGGGAUAAGCUUUAAAUUAAAUUUUUAUAAUUAUUAUUAUUAAAUUAUAAAAAAAUUUUAAAAUUUAUAUUGUUUAAAAAUUUUAUUUUAUUAUAAAAAAUUUUUUAUUAAAAAAAAAAUUUUAUAAAUGAAAUUUAAUUAUUUAUAAAAAAAAAUUUUUAAAUAAGAUAAAAUUAGUUAUAAUGAUAAAAUUAGUAUUAAUUAUAAAUAAAAAAAAAAUUAAUUUUAGUAAGUUAAAUAAAAGGAAUUCGGCAAAUUUUUAUAUUCACUUGUUUAUCAAAAACAUGUCUUUUUGUGAAUAAUUUAAAGUCUAAUCUGCCCACUGAUAAUAUAUUAAAGGGCUGCAGUAUAUUGACUGUACAAAGGUAGCAUAAUCAAUAGUCUUUUAAUUGGUGACUUGUAUGAAGGAUUGGAUGAGAUAUAUACUGUCUCUAAUUUAUAUAAAGAAUUUAAUUUUUUAAUUAAAAAGUUAAAAUAAAUUUAAAAGACGAGAAGACCCUAUAGAGUUUUAUAUUAAAAUUUAUUAAAAUUAUAUAUUAGUUAGAAAAAAAUAAUAAAUUUAAAGUAUUUUAUUGGGGUGAUGGAAAAAUUGAAUUAACUUUUUUUUUUAAUUAUUUCAUUGAUAGGUGAAUAAUUGAUCCAAAAUUUUUGAUUAUAAGAAAAAAUUACCUUAGGGAUAACAGCGUAAUUUUUUUUUUUAGUUCAAAUAAAAAAAAGAGUUUGCGACCUCGAUGUUGGAUUAAGAUAAAAUUUAUAUGCAAAAGUAUAAGAUUUUGAUCUGUUCGAUCAUUAAAAUCUUACAUGAUCUGAGUUCAAACCGGUGUGAGCCAGGUUGGUUUCUAUCUUUAAAUAAAUAAGAUAUUUUAGUACGAAAGGAAUAAGUAUUUAAAUUAAAUUUAAUUUUAUGAAUUUUAUUAAAUAGUAAUAUAUAAAUUAAAA
Molecule: ribosomal RNA, 1345 nt
Filed under: Omphisa fuscidentalis (bamboo borer)
Lineage: Eukaryota; Metazoa; Arthropoda; Insecta; Lepidoptera; Crambidae
Description: 16S ribosomal RNA
Source: RNAcentral